AUCGAACGCUGGCGGCAGGCCUAACACAUGCAAGUCGAGCGGCCCGGCCGACGGGUGCGUAAUGCCUAGGAUUCUGCCUGGUAGUAGGGGCUACCGUCCGGAAACGGGCGCUAGUAACGCAUUCUAUCAAUUGAUCCUAGGUCGGAGUAGCUAGUCGGAGGGGUAAAGGCCUACCAGGGCGACGAUCCUCACCGGGUCUGAGAGGAUGAUCAGUCACACUGGAACUGAGACCCGGUCCAGACUCCUAGGGAGGGCAGCGGUGGGGAAUAUUGGACAAUGGGCGAAAGCCUGAUCCAGCCAUGCCGCGGAUGUUAAGAGGGUCUUCGGAGUGUAAAGCACUUUAAGUUGGGAGGCGUUACCAACAGAAUAAGCACCGGCUAACUUCGUGCCAGCAGCCGCGGUAAUUC
RNAcentral lists this ribosomal RNA (407 nucleotides) under uncultured bacterium. Its description in RNAcentral is "partial 16S ribosomal RNA". It matches the Rfam family "Bacterial small subunit ribosomal RNA", at positions 30 to 526 of the family's 1533-position model. The record is from RNAcentral.